RNAcentral lists this small nuclear RNA (64 nucleotides) under Vicugna pacos (alpaca). Lineage: Eukaryota; Metazoa; Chordata; Mammalia; Artiodactyla; Camelidae. The record is from RNAcentral.
NNGAAGAUUAGCACUGCCCGUGCACAAAGAUGACACACAAAGUUGUGAAGCAUUCCAUAUUUUU